CCAUUUCGUCACAAAAGCGUUUCCCCGUGCGCGGCCUGCUCGGUUCUUUUCUUUGCUCACCGGCCCAAGUUAUCGGCCCAGCUUUCUUUUCUUCCUUUUCCUCCUCUCGCAUCUUCUGUUUCCUUCUUUUCUUCUUCUUGCUUUUGUUUCGGUUCUCCAGCGACUGCUGCGAUAGCUUCCGCAAUGAGGCGCCAUUCGCCGGUGAGGGAUUCAGCACGGGAUGAAAGCCGAGGCUAUUCACCGGUGAGGGUUUCUGCACGGGAGGGUUCAUGCGAGGCGACGGCUUUCGCAAGGCAUCCAUUUAGCUGGCUAGGGUUUCCUUGAGAGAGGAUUCCGUCGAGCAUGGCACCUCCAGAAUGUUUGAAGAUUCGGUUCUCUUCAUGUCGUUUUGUUCUCCAGCAACUUUGUUCUAGAGGAACAAUUGUAGAAAUUUGUUCUUCAGCAAUUUUGUUCCAGAUGAACAAUUGUAGCAUUUUGUUCCAAAAGCCAAAUAGAAAUUUUUGUUCCACAUAUUUUAUUUGUUCUCAAAUCAAGGAUGUGUCCUAUUGGAACUAUUCUAGUAUUAUGUUCCACAUAUGUUGUACAAAUUUUUAUUUUUUUCUAAAUCAAAAAAUUUGUUCCAUUAGAACAAAUGUAAAUGUAAUAAUUUGUUCCAUUUCGUGAAAUUUAAAUUUGUUGCUCCCAUCUCA
Molecule: long non-coding RNA, 689 nt
Organism: Panicum virgatum (switchgrass)
Lineage: Eukaryota; Viridiplantae; Streptophyta; Magnoliopsida; Poales; Poaceae
Exons: 2
Source: RefSeq, a predicted model, not a curated record